CCUACGGGUGGCAGCAGUGGGGAAUAUUGCACAAUGGGGGAAACCCUGAUGCAGCGACGCCGCGUGAGUGAAGAAGUAAUUCGUUACGUAAAGCUCUAUCAGCAGGGAAGAAAAUGACGGUUCCUGAGUAAGAAGCCCCGGCCAACAACGUGCCAGGAGCCGCGGUAAUACGUAGGGGGCAAGCGUUAUCCGGAUUUACUGGGUGUAAAGGGAUCGUAGAUGGUGCGCCAAGUCUGGAGGGAAAUGCCGCAGGUUAAAUGCGGAACUGCUUUGGAAACUGGCGAACUAGAGUGCGAGAGGGGUAAGCGGAAUUCCAAGUGUAGCGGUGAAAUGCGUAGAUAUUAGGAGGAACACCGGUGGCGAAGGCAGCUUACUGGACCGUAACUGACGUUGAGGCACGAAAGCGUGGGGAGCAAACAGGAUUAGAUACCCGGGUAGUC
This 440-nucleotide ribosomal RNA is filed under the name uncultured bacterium. Its description in RNAcentral is "partial 16S ribosomal RNA". It matches the Rfam family "Bacterial small subunit ribosomal RNA", at positions 338 to 795 of the family's 1533-position model. The record is from RNAcentral.